GCGGGGUUGGUCGGGAAAGAACUUGAAUUUAAAAUUCAAGGAAAUUUUGAAUAUGAUACAAUUUUUGGUUCAGUUCGAAUUCCUGUG
This 87-nucleotide transfer RNA is filed under the name Leptospira interrogans serovar Bataviae str. HAI135. RNAcentral describes it as "tRNA-Leu". The record is from RNAcentral. Lineage: Bacteria; Pseudomonadati; Spirochaetota; Leptospiria; Leptospirales; Leptospiraceae.